Long non-coding RNA from Macadamia integrifolia, 638 nucleotides. RefSeq lists it as uncharacterized. The record is from RefSeq and is a predicted model, not a curated record. NCBI's taxonomy places the organism in Eukaryota, Viridiplantae, Streptophyta, Magnoliopsida, Proteales, Proteaceae. The transcript is spliced from 2 exons.
CGAAAGUCAAGAGAAGGAACUUACCUUGUCCAGCGAAGUGAAGGGAAAUCUGCAUUUUCUGGCGAAUGAAGGGAAAUCUGCAUUUUCCCAUGAAUGAAGGGAAUGCAUUUUCCGGUGAAGUGAAAUGAAGUCUCCGGUGAAGGGAUUUCAGAUCUGAAAAAGUUCCAGAACCUCUUCCUUAGUCUCUUCCUUAGUCUCCUACAGGGAUUCAACUUAACAAUGGGCCAAAAUCCAACCGAGGGAAUUGGUAUCUCUGGUUUUGCAAGAACCUUCGCUGGUUUGGAGAUAGGCCGCCUGAGAGUUGAGAAGAAGCAGUCACCGGAGAAGACAGUCAUUGGUAAGUUGAACUCAAUAAGGGAAAAAUCGGUAUUAAAUGAAAAAUAGAUCCACUUAAUGGACUGACCCUCAAAGUGUUAGUUUUCGUGGAUUUAAAUAUAAUAAAUAAAACUCAAGGGGGAGGAUAUAUUAAAGGCAAACGCGAAGAGAGGGGGAUGUAAAUUUCUCUUCUUCCAAUGAACACUUUUCCCCCCACUCCACUCCCUGCAACCCGAUCAUUAUAGUGGUAGAUUGUCAAGAGGGUAGUGUUUGAUGUUCUACCAUUGUUGCUUCAAUUCUAUAAUGUAAACAAUUGCUCCCAA